AUACGGAGGAUGCGAGCGUUGUCCGGAUUUAUUGGGUUUAAAGGGAGCGUAGGUGGGAUAUUAAGUCAGCUGUGAAAGUUUGGGGCUCAACCUUAAAAUUGCAGUUGGUACUGGUUUCCUUGAGUACGGUAUAGGUGGGCGGAAUUCGUGGUGUAGCGGUGAAAUGCUUAGAUAUCACGAAGAACUCCGAUCGCGAAGGCAGCUCACCGGGCCGGAACUGACACUGAUGCUCGAAAGUGCGGGUAUCAAACAGGAUUAGAUACCCUGGUAGUCCGCACAGUAAACGAUGAAUACUCGCUGUUUGCGAUACACUGUAAGCGGCCAAGCGAAAGCGUUAAGUAUUCCACCUGGGGAGUACGCCGGCAACGGUGAAACUCAAAUGAAUUGACGGGG
This 393-nucleotide ribosomal RNA is filed under the name uncultured bacterium. RNAcentral's name for it is "partial 16S ribosomal RNA". It matches the Rfam family "Bacterial small subunit ribosomal RNA", at positions 523 to 918 of the family's 1533-position model. The record is from RNAcentral.